RNAcentral lists this unclassified non-coding RNA (948 nucleotides) under Hevea brasiliensis (rubber tree). The record is from RNAcentral. Lineage: Eukaryota; Viridiplantae; Streptophyta; Magnoliopsida; Malpighiales; Euphorbiaceae.
UUCUUUCCUUGUGCUUCUGCUCAUCGGAUGUUUGAGUGCAGAUGGAUAUCCAUUCCGAUUGAGCAUUGAGAAGUAUAGAUUUGUUAAAAAAGAAAAAAAGAAAAAAAAAGAAAAAAGAAAAAAAUAUUUCCUAAAUCAAGUAAAUUAAUCAAAUAAACCAGCUAUACAAAUCAUUUUCAGAAACAAAAAAACUAUAUAUCGAACUCAAAAUUAAUUAUGCUUGAUGCACUAAAUGUAAUGCUUAAUUAAUUUGAACAAGAACUACCAAUUUUUGUAUACAAUUCUCUGCCAAGUUGCCUUGUGUGCAUGGCAUUAGAUUGCAAUUCGGAAUCUAACGUCUUUGGCUUUGGCACUAUGGUUUCAUUGAUAACAGGAUUUGAUGAACUGUCACAAAUCAGAAUUUUUCUUUUUUUUUUUUAAAUUUUACUGUCUACAAUUUCCCCAAUUUCUCCUUCAUCCUCAUCCUAUGGAUCAUCAUUCUAGAUUUCCUCUAAACUAAGAACACAACUAACAAUGUACUGUCAUAAAAAAGCGUAAAUUAUCAAAUCCAAGAGAUACUGAACACUUGUAAAAAGUUUAUUCAUGAAUUAAUCUUCUUAUGUAACAGAAAAAAUGUGAUUAAUUUUAUUUCAAACAAAAAAAAAAAGAAAUUCUAGAUAAUUGGAGUGGGUAUUUUAAAGAUCAACUUGUAAGAACAACUCCAAAAUCAUAAAAUAUCUAACAAGAAAAAUGAAAUAUAGAUUCAAAAGUCAGCAUAAACGAUUGGAAUAAGCUAAAAUUUAAGAAAAAGUUCAACAAUAAGUUAACAUUCUCAUCAAAAUUAUUGAAAGAAGUAAAAGCAAUGAUAAAAGUUAAUAUAUAAAAAAAAAAAAAAAUUGAGUACAGUCUCUCAAUUUUGCAGCAAUCCAUAAAUCUAAAUCUGCAACCAGCCAAACCUAGCUUGAAAAU